RNAcentral lists this unclassified non-coding RNA (687 nucleotides) under Aspergillus protuberus. RNAcentral's name for it is "sequence contains ITS1, 5.8S rRNA gene, ITS2". The stretch from base 198 to 351 matches the Rfam family "5.8S ribosomal RNA". The record is from RNAcentral. Lineage: Eukaryota; Fungi; Ascomycota; Eurotiomycetes; Eurotiales; Aspergillaceae.
GUAACAAGGUUUCCGUAGGUGAACCUGCGGAAGGAUCAUUACUGAGUGCGGGCUGCCUCCGGGCGCCCAACCUCCCACCCGUGACUACCUAACACUGUUGCUUCGGCGGGGAGCCCUCUCGGGGGCGAGCCGCCGGGGACUACUGAACUUCAUGCCUGAGAGUGAUGCAGUCUGAGUCUGAAUAUAAAAUCAGUCAAAACUUUCAACAAUGGAUCUCUUGGUUCCGGCAUCGAUGAAGAACGCAGCGAACUGCGAUAAGUAAUGUGAAUUGCAGAAUUCAGUGAAUCAUCGAGUCUUUGAACGCACAUUGCGCCCCCUGGCAUUCCGGGGGGCAUGCCUGUCCGAGCGUCAUUGCUGCCCAUCAAGCCCGGCUUGUGUGUUGGGUCGUCGUCCCCCCCGGGGGACGGGCCCGAAAGGCAGCGGCGGCACCGUGUCCGGUCCUCGAGCGUAUGGGGCUUUGUCACCCGCUCGAUUUAGGGCCGGCCGGGCGCCAGCCGACGUCCAACCAUUUUUCUUCAGGUUGACCUCGGAUCAGGUAGGGAUACCCGCUGAACUUAAGCAUAUCAAUAAGCGGAGGAAAAGAAACCAACCGGGAUUGCCCCAGUAACGGCGAGUGAAGCGGCAAGAGCUCAAAUUUGAAAUCUGGCCCCUCCGGGGUCCGAGUUGUAAUUUGCAGAGGAUGCUUCG